ACAGCUAACACUAAGCAGUUGAGAUUUGAAGAUGUAGUAAACCAGUCAAGUCCAAAAAACUGCACUGUGUACUGUGGGGGGAUCGCUUCGGGGCUGACAGAUCAACUUAUGAGACAAACAUUUUCACCAUUUGGACAAAUUAUGGAGAUAAGAGUUUUUCCAGAGAAGGGGUAUUCGUUUGUCAGAUUUUCAACUCAUGAAAGUGCAGCCCAUGCUAUUGUUUCUGUGAACGGUACUACAAUCGAAGGACAUGUGGUUAAAUGCUAUUGGGGUAAAGAAUCUCCUGAUAUGACUAAAAACUUCCAACAGGUUGACUACAGUCAGUGGGGCCAAUGGAGCCAAGUGUAUGGAAACCCACAACAGUACGGACAGUAUAUGGCAAAUGGGUGGCAAGUACCUCCCUAUGGAGUAUAUGGGCAGCCAUGGAACCAACAAGGAUUUGGAGUAGAUCAAUCACCUUCUGCUGCUUGGAUGGGUGGAUUUGGUGCUCAGCCUCCACAAGGACAAGCUCCGCC
This 515-nucleotide long non-coding RNA is filed under the name Rattus norvegicus (Norway rat). Its description in RNAcentral is "long non-coding RNA NONRATT003243". The record is from RNAcentral. Lineage: Eukaryota; Metazoa; Chordata; Mammalia; Rodentia; Muridae.